UAAUCUUACUUUAUAAGUAUUUUCACCGAUUAAAAAUAAAAUAAGAGUUGUUAUUAUAAUUAAUAAUGAUUGAAAUUCGGGAAUAAGAUUAUGCAAACAUUUUAAUGAUUCUUUCAUACUUUCAUAAAUCAUAAUAUCGAAUACAUCAGUAGUCAGUAGUCUGGUGCAGUUAUUUUGUUAAGCAUUACAUUUUUGGGAAAAUUGCCGCAUUCUCAUAUUAAUAUAAUAUCUAAUUGCAAAAGCAAUUAUUUCUUCGCUAUGCUGGAAACAUGGAAAAUAAAUAAUAUUGUUUUUUAAUAAUUCAACAAAAUUAAAAAAAUGUAAAUUUGGAUGAAUAAGUCCACCUCUGGAAGUUAAGUUAGUUAGUCGAGCAACAGGUUCAACCGAAU
This 389-nucleotide long non-coding RNA is filed under the name Acyrthosiphon pisum (pea aphid). Its description in RNAcentral is "uncharacterized LOC115033933, transcript variant X1". Lineage: Eukaryota; Metazoa; Arthropoda; Insecta; Hemiptera; Aphididae. The record is from RNAcentral.